Tupaia belangeri chinensis (Chinese tree shrew) is the source of this 865-nucleotide long non-coding RNA. RefSeq lists it as uncharacterized. The transcript has 3 exons. Lineage: Eukaryota; Metazoa; Chordata; Mammalia; Scandentia; Tupaiidae. The record is from RefSeq and is a predicted model, not a curated record.
UUCCCUCCAUAAUUUUCAUGUUCUUGUGAGGAAAAAAGAUUAAAACAUGUUUAAUUUUAUUUGAUUUUAUGACAUUGCUUCCAACAAGCAAAUGUUAAAUGUGUAAGACUUGACUUGUUGUACUAGUGUUGUAAUUUUCCAAGUGUCCCUAAAGGCCACUUCCUAUCAUUUUUCCCAGUAAAUGAGGCAAGCAGUUCUAAGAUCUUCCACAAACAUCUAGCCAUCUAAAAUGGAGAGAUGAAUCAUUCUACCUAUACAAACAAGCUAGCUGUUAGAGGGUGGUCGGGGUAUGCUACUCAUAGGAUUUCAGGGUGUCUUCAAACUGAAAUCUCAAUGUUCUCAAUAAGAAAAACCGGAGGUCAGAUGCCUAUGUAAGGAAAGUGCUAUUCACCCAGUAAACCCAAAACAGAUGGAUAAUGCUGGCCAUAUUUUGCCUUUCUGACAUUUCCUUGGGAAUCUGCAAGAACCUCCCCUUUCCCUUCCCCCAGUAAGACCAUUUAAGUGUGUGUUAAACAACUACAGAAUACUAAAUAAAAAGUUUGGCCAAAACCAACCAUGAAGCUGCAAACGAUGCUUGCUCUUACUGUUUCAAAUUUUUGCAACUCUGUAGUGUCUCACUUUUAAAGGAACAGCUUGAUUGCAAAGGAGAAAAUAGAUAAGCAAUGAAGUUAUCUCCAACUUCCUAAAGGCUUAUGACUUCUAAAAAGUGAAUCUAUCAGCAUUCCACAUCAGAUUUAAAGCAUCAAAUGCCUGUGAAACAGCAAAGAUGGUCGAGAAUUGGUCAUUAUGGUCGUGGAGUGCUGAUAUAUUCACAGUAGAUUAAAGCUGGCAGCAAAAUAAAUCACAUGCUAAGAGUUGUUGAAGC